GGUGAGUAACACGUAUCCAACCUGCCUCAUACUUGGGGAUAGCCUUUCGAAAGAAAGAUUAAUAUCCGAUAGCAUAUAUUUCCCGCAUGGGUUUUAUAUUAAAGAAAUUCGGUAUGAGAUGGGGAUGCGUUCCAUUAGUUUGUUGGGGGGGUAACGGCCCACCAAGACUACGAUGGAUAGGGGUUCUGAGAGGAAGGUCCCCCACAUUGGAACUGAGACACGGUCCAAACUCCUACGGGAGGCAGCAGUGAGGAAUAUUGGUCAAUGGACGCGAGUCUGAACCAGCCAAGUAGCGUGAAGGAUGACUGCCCUAUGGGUUGUAAACUUCUUUUAUAUGGGAAUAAAGUUGUCCACGUGUGGAUUUUUGUAUGUACCAUAUGAAUAAGGAUCGGCUAACUCCGUGCCAGCAGCCGCGGUAAUACGGAGGAUCCGAGCGUUAUCCGGAUUUAUUGGGUUUAAAGGGAGCGUAGGCGGAUUGUUAAGUCAGUUGUGAAAGUUUGCGGCUCAACC
This 510-nucleotide ribosomal RNA is filed under the name uncultured bacterium. RNAcentral describes it as "bacterial SSU rRNA". It matches the Rfam family "Bacterial small subunit ribosomal RNA", at positions 105 to 614 of the family's 1533-position model. The record is from RNAcentral.